RNAcentral lists this long non-coding RNA (906 nucleotides) under Rattus norvegicus (Norway rat). RNAcentral's name for it is "long non-coding RNA NONRATT020296". Lineage: Eukaryota; Metazoa; Chordata; Mammalia; Rodentia; Muridae. The record is from RNAcentral.
GUCAUCCUUACGCCUGCACGAUCUAGUGUGACUCUGAGCAGCCGUCUCCCGACUCUUCUUCCUAAGGAUCUAGAAGCAGAAAGCAGCAGCUCCACUUCCCUGCAAAGGAGCUGGGCGGCGGCACCAUGAAGUACAUGCUAAACCUCUACGUGCUGGGGGUCAUGUUGACCCUGCUUUCCAUCUUUGUUAGACUGAUGGAGUCACUGGGAGGAUUGUUGGAGAACCCAUUGCCCGGGAGCUCCUGGAUUACGAGAGGUCACCUAGCCAACACACAGCCUCCCAGGGGCCUUCCAGACCAUCCAUCCAGAGGAGUGCAAUAAAACCUCCCCCCAGGCAUCAGCCAUGCUUUGACACACUGACUUCAGCAUGUCCGACCACAUGUUUCAUUUCCCAAGAGGCAACAUCAAGUGUCUCCAAAGAACUGUUACUAGGCCUGGCAGGGCAGUUUUCUUUUGGAUGUUCCCUUACACGGGAAAAGAGCCUGUUUACUGGAGAGGUGUGAGUGGCUUGUCUGUGGCUCUGAGAUGGUGGUGUACCGUUUUCAGCUGUUGGGAGAACGUUUUUUUGGUUUUGUUUGUUUGUUUAAGUCCUCCGUCCUAAAGGACUCUUUUGGACCUAAGCAUCUUCUGUUGUUUACGAUUGAGCCUCUCUUCCAGGAGAGUUUUGUUUGGACAGCAUCUAAGGGGUUGUGGGUUGGCCACGAAGACAGGGUGGACCAUCCGGUGUUUAGGUCUAAGUUCUGCGUUUAAGUUCUUUCUCCAGUGUAAUGCACAUGUGUUUGUACAUAAUGUCUAAAGGGCUAUGGGAUGAUCAGGCCUGCUAGGGUAUAGGCAUUCCAGCCACUGUGUGGCUUACAUGAGUUUUUCUAAUGCAAUAAAUGUGAAUAUAUGUGUAUGUAUACAUUUC